Molecule: microRNA precursor, 189 nt
Filed under: Oryza meridionalis
Lineage: Eukaryota; Viridiplantae; Streptophyta; Magnoliopsida; Poales; Poaceae
Description: MIR812 microRNA precursor family
Rfam family: MIR812 microRNA precursor family
Source: Rfam by way of RNAcentral
UUUAAGUGAAAUUAUAUUUUUUGUGAUCAGCUUUAAUCGUUUAUCUUUUUUAAUUUUUUUAUAAUUCGUAUUUUUGUUAUUAUGAGAUCAUAAAACAUAAGUAGUAUUUUACUCGUGAUUUAUGUUUUAUUUUUUUUAAAUAAGACCGACAAUCAAAAUUGAACGCGAAAAACCAUGUCUGUAUUUAAA